AUUCAGAGCUGCCAUUUUCUUGUUGAUUCAAAGUACUGUUUUUUAGCUCAAUAAGUUAGAGAAUUAAGCCAUGCAUAUGAAUCAAAUAUUUUGACAUUCGCAAUUGGCCGCCAGUGGAAAUUUUGCACUGAAUCUGUUGUUUGUGCGUAGUAUACUUUCAUUUUUCCUUGGCUUCUUCGAGUUUAGCUUUUCAGGCAAGUAAGUCCAUUGACAAACACUUUCUGUUCACAGGCACUUUCUAGAUUUACAACUCAAG
Molecule: long non-coding RNA, 256 nt
Filed under: Gossypium barbadense (sea-island cotton)
Lineage: Eukaryota; Viridiplantae; Streptophyta; Magnoliopsida; Malvales; Malvaceae
Description: long non-coding RNA (GBAR_LNC014820)
Source: RNAcentral